AGCCGAACUUUUUGUCAGUGCGAACCUCAACCUGAGCUAGGUUUUAAAAACAAACGAUCAAACUGACGUUUGCAAGAAAACAAGCAGACCCGAUCUUGAUACCCGAUUCAGGUUGGAACUGAAUAAUAAACAAAUUCGCUAUUAUUUAGUAGCCUAGUGCGGUACUGUGCGCGAUUUAAGUUUCAACAAAAAGCCGUUUGACGGCUUUUUGUCUAUAGUUUCGUCCCACCUCCCGCUCGGCAUACCGCGCCGCCUCGUUAUUACCACUACCCUGGCCCCACG
This is a long non-coding RNA of Ochlerotatus camptorhynchus, 282 nucleotides long. RefSeq lists it as uncharacterized. The transcript is spliced from 3 exons. The record is from RefSeq and is a predicted model, not a curated record. NCBI's taxonomy places the organism in Eukaryota, Metazoa, Arthropoda, Insecta, Diptera, Culicidae.